GUAGUCGUGUCCGAGCGGUUAAGGCGAUGGACUAGAAAUCGAUUGGAAUCUUCUCGCGUAAGUUCGAAUCCUACCGACUACG
Non-coding RNA from Nephila pilipes (giant wood spider), 82 nucleotides. The record is from the annotation of a GenBank genome assembly. NCBI's taxonomy places the organism in Eukaryota, Metazoa, Arthropoda, Arachnida, Araneae, Nephilidae.